AGUAAUAUAUCGGAACGUGCCCUAGAGUGGGGGAUAACGUAGCGAAAGUUACGCUAAUACCGCAUACGAUCUAAGGAUGAAAGCGGGGGAUCGCAAGACCUCGCGCUCGUGGAGCGGCCGAUAUCUGAUUAGCUAGUUGGUAGGGUAAAAGCCUACCAAGGCGACGAUCAGUAGCUGGUCUGAGAGGACGACCAGCCACACUGGGACUGAGACACGGCCCAG
Molecule: ribosomal RNA, 222 nt
Filed under: uncultured bacterium
Lineage: Bacteria
Description: partial 16S ribosomal RNA
Rfam family: Bacterial small subunit ribosomal RNA
Source: RNAcentral